Molecule: long non-coding RNA, 2410 nt
Organism: Nerophis ophidion (straightnose pipefish)
Lineage: Eukaryota; Metazoa; Chordata; Actinopteri; Syngnathiformes; Syngnathidae
Exons: 2
Source: RefSeq, a predicted model, not a curated record
AAGUCCCUACCUUUAGUCAAAAGUGAUUUAUGACCCCCCAUAAAACAAUGAUUUAUGACCCUCAAGGUCAAAGGUCAAUGAUUUAUGAGGGGUCAAGUUCAAAGGUUAAUGAUUUAUGAGGGGGUCAAGGUUAAAGGUCAAGGUUAAAGGUCAGGUUCAAAUGUCAGGUUCAAAUGUCAAGGUCAAGUGGGUGUGGCUUACCCGGAAGAGGGUGGAGUUAAGACCUGCGGUGGGAGUGGUUAAACCAGGAAGAGGGUGGAGUUUUAAACAGAAAGAGGGCAGAGUUAAGACCUGCGGUGGGAGUGGUUAAACCAGGAAAAGGGUGGAGUUAAGACCUGACAGGGAACAGAGGAGGGUUCAGUUUUUUUAAGAAAGCAAUGUCAUCUGAGCAGCAUGUGACCAUAUAUUUGAUAGUUUAAAUGUUUACGAUCGUUUGAAACAACUUCCAGAUUUCGAUGUAUUGAUGGCUGGGAAUGUUACGUGUGGAGAUGUGGACACGCACGCACUUCACACACACACACACACACACACACACACACACACACACACACACACACACACACACACACACAUUCGUACGCACUGUUAUUACCAUGUUAUUAGACAUUGUCUUAGUCAUUAUUUGGAGCUUUAUACGUUAGCGUAAAGACUUUGUUCGAUUCGGUCAUGAUUAGUGAAACGCCUGUUUCGAUUGAUAAAAAUAAUAAAACUUACAUUGACGCUCCGCAAAAAAGUCGAGUGUUUCUAAAUCGUAUUCAGUUUUCAGCUAAAAGAAAGAAGAGACGGAAGCCCUUUCUCGAUAUUUUCAUCGUUAUCUACCGUGGAUUGGGAAGUUUUUGGUGGACACGCACACACACACGCACACACACACACACACACACACACACACGCACACACACACACACACACACACACACACACACACACACACACACACACACACACACACACACACACACACACACACACACAUUCGUACGCACUGAAACAACUUCCGUACCUCACGAAAACAUAUUUAAACAGAUGGAAAAAACUAUCGCAGAACACAGUGUCACGUAGCAACUGGUCUUUACGGUCGUUUGAAUCAACAGGUCAGUUUGGGGGACAAAAGGAGGGUUCAGUUUUUACUGACUUCCCAUCUGACAGUUUAAAUGUUUAUGACCGUUUGAAUCAACAGGACACGCACGCACACACACACACACGCACGCACACACACACACACACACACAUACACACACACACGCACACACACACACACACACACACACACACCAUUACCUCUGCUUUACCAUGUUAUUAGACAUUGGUUUAACUCCAUUUAAGCAUUUAAACGUUAAAAGCAUUGCACUUGUACGACGUUGUAAUACUUUUUUUUUACCAGCCGAUGACGACGAAGUGAAAGACGAUGAACUUUGCUUAAACAGUCUUACAAAGUUGGAAGAUGAUUAUCGAGGUGUGUUUAAACCUUCGAAUUAUUUAAUAUUGUGUGUAUUCAUUAUUUUGUUUUAUAGAGGAUUUGCCGUAAGAUCCUAACGCGAUCGUUUUAACACAAUCGCAGUCUGGUGAGUCAAAUGAUUCUCAUUUUACAAGAAAAAAAACAUGCGGUAUACGAUACAUAUAUACAUAUAUUUACUUACAUCUCCGGCUCGCUGGUCUCCCUUAAAGCUGGCGGGUCCGUCAACGGCCGUUCCAGGCAGAGGAGAAGGCUUGAUUGUGCCAAAGACUCCAGACAUCGAAUCCUUGCUCCGAGGGGAAAUCAUCGAAAACGACGGUGAAUGUCCAACAGGCACCCGCUAUUGGUAACACUGGACAAGUCGGAUAUCCUUGCUUGGAUCCUUUUAAAGUUGCCCGAUAAACUGCUGAGAGUUGAUCUCUCCUCUUGUCCAAAGGUUUUUCGUUCAUUUUUACUUGUAAUACUGCCACUAGGGUUGAUGUAGUAGCUCCACAACAUAACCUUAAAGCCUGUGACUGGAUCCGGUCUAUUUUCCCAAGUCAUGUUUUUGAAGCAGAUUGGUAAAUAAUGCAUCCGUAAUCAAUAACAGAUGGAAUUAAAGUUAUAAAUAUAUACAUGUAUUGUUUUCAACGUUAACCUAUCAGCCCCCCAAUCAUUACCCCUCAAAGACCUCAUUAUAUUUAACACCUUUUUACUUUUUCCCCUAUUUUUUUAUUUUCCGGAAGGAACACUCCUGAAGGAAUAAAUAAAGUACUAUCUAAUCUAAUCUAAUCAAAUCUAUUUUGCUGAUGUGGGUUGACUAGUUCAUAUUUUUAUCAAACCAUAUUCCUAAAUAUUUAAAUACUUGUACCUCUUCUAUAUUUUCACCUUAGAGUUUUUAUUUGGAGCUUGUUUGGUACUUUUGUCUUUGUAAAAUGUAUGACUUUUGUCUUUCCAACAGAGAAUCUUAAACCUCAA